AGUGAACGCUGGCGGUAGGCCUAACACAUGCAAGUCGAACGGCAGCACAGUAAGAGCUUGCUCUUACGGGUGGCGAGUGGCGGACGGGUGAGGAAUACAUCGGAAUCUACUUUUUCGUGGGGGAUAACGUAGGGAAACUUACGCUAAUACCGCAUACGACCUACGGGUGAAAGCAGGGGAUCUUCGGACCUUGCGCGAUUGAAUGAGCCGAUGUCGGAUUAGCUAGUUGGCGGGGUAAAGGCCCACCAAGGCGACGAUCCGUAGCUGGUCUGAGAGGAUGAUCGGCCACACUGGAACUGAGACACGGUCCAGACUCCUACGGGAGGCAGCAGUGGGGAAUAUUGGACAAUGGGCGCAAGCCUGAUCCAGCCAUACCGCGUGGGUAAAGAAGGCCUUCGGGUUGUAAAGCCCUUUUGUUGGGAAAGAAAAGCAGCAGGUUAAUACCCCGCUGUUCUGACGGUACCCAAAGAAUAAGCACCGGCUAACUUCGUG
This 492-nucleotide ribosomal RNA is filed under the name uncultured bacterium. RNAcentral describes it as "partial 16S ribosomal RNA". It matches the Rfam family "Bacterial small subunit ribosomal RNA", at positions 29 to 507 of the family's 1533-position model. The record is from RNAcentral.